This 293-nucleotide non-coding RNA is filed under the name Candidatus Protofrankia californiensis. RNAcentral describes it as "Candidatus Frankia californiensis Bacterial small subunit ribosomal RNA". It matches the Rfam family "Bacterial small subunit ribosomal RNA", at positions 1 to 304 of the family's 1533-position model. The record is from Rfam by way of RNAcentral. Lineage: Bacteria; Bacillati; Actinomycetota; Actinomycetes; Frankiales; Frankiaceae.
GCAACGGAGAGUUUGAUCCUGGCUCAGGACGAACGCUGGCGGCGUGCUUAACACAUGCAAGUCGAGCGAGGAACUUCGGUUCCUAGCGGCGAACGGGUGAGUAACACGUGGGCAACCUGCCCCGAGCUCUGGGAUAACUUCGGGAAACCGGGGCUAAUACCGGAUAUGACACUACUGGACAUCUGGUGGUGUGGAAAGAUUUAUCGGCUUGGGAUGGGCCCGCGGCCUAUCAGCUUGUUGGUGGGGUAACGGCCUACCAAGGCGACGACGGGUAGCCGGCCUGAGAGGGCGAU